Molecule: ribosomal RNA, 841 nt
Filed under: uncultured Acidobacteriota bacterium
Lineage: Bacteria; Pseudomonadati; Acidobacteriota
Description: bacterial SSU rRNA
Rfam family: Bacterial small subunit ribosomal RNA
Source: RNAcentral
CAAGUCGAGCGAGAAAGUGUAGCAAUACAUGAGUACAGCGGCGCACGGGUGAGUAACACGUGGGUAAUCUGCCCUAGAGUGGGGAAUAACACCGGGAAACCGGUGCUAAUACCGCAUACGAUCACGAUGUUUGCGGACGUUGUGAUGAAAGGAGCAAUUCGCUCUUGGAGGAGCCCGCGGCUGAUUAGCUAGUUGGUAAGGUAAUGGCUUACCAAGGCUACGAUCAGUAUCCGGUCUGAGAGGACGGUCGGACACACUGGAACUGAGACACGGUCCAGACUCCUACGGGAGGCAGCAGUGGGGAAUUUUUCGCAAUGGGGGCAACCCUGACGAAGCAACGCCGCGUGGGUGAUGAAGUAUCUCGGUACGUAAAACCCUUUCGACGGGGAAGAAAACCGCAAGGUUUGACGGUACCCGUAGAAGAAGCCCCGGCUAACUCCGUGCCAGCAGCCGCGGUAAUACGGGGGGGGCAAGCGUUGUUCGGAAUUACUGGGCGUAAAGGGCGCGUAGGCGGUUUGCUAAGUUGAAUGUGAAAACUCUGGGCUUAACCCAGAGCCUGCAUUCAAUACUGGCAGGCUAGAGUUCUGGAGGGGAUAGCGGAAUUCCUGGUGUAGCGGUGAAAUGCGUAGAUAUCAGGAGGAACACCGGUGGCGAAGGCGGCUAUCUGGACAGAGUCUGACGCUGAGGCGCGAAAGCUAGGGGAGCAAACAGGAUUAGAUACCCUGGUAGUCCUAGCCCUAAACGAUGGAUACUUGCUGUGACUGGGAUUGAAUCCAGCCGUGGCGAAGCUAACGCAUUAAGUAUCCCGCCUGGGGAGUACGGUCGCAAGGCUGAAACUCAA